UGCCCCUUACAGACCAAGGCUCGCGCACAAGACGACGUUUGUAUUACCAUCAAUGACCGGGGCAUCGAUUCGUCAUCCGAUGGCAUAUUUAAGACCAAUCAAUUCAAAAUAUCGAUCGAUUCGAUUUGGUCCGCACGUUAGGAAACCAGAGCUGCCCAGAAUAUGAGUUCGUUCACCAGCCUUGUGUACGCUGCGCUGCUAGUGGUUCUCCUAGCCCUGUCGGCGGAAGCCUUCGGAUUCUUUGAGUACGGAUACCCCAGCUUCAAUCCCUCGCCUUUCUUUUACCCCUACUACAGGGGCUAUGCGGAUGAUUUCUUUGACGACGAUUAAGUAGCCAGCAGCGAAGGAAAAAAUGAAUGUAUUCAUCCAAACUCCCUUAACCCGGAAGUACAGAAUGUAUUUCCCACAGCACCUUACAUCCUUCAAUGUUGAAUAAAAAGCUUUUUGCAAACAUG
This is a long non-coding RNA of Magallana angulata, 455 nucleotides long. RefSeq lists it as uncharacterized. The record is from RefSeq and is a predicted model, not a curated record. The transcript is spliced from 3 exons. Lineage: Eukaryota; Metazoa; Mollusca; Bivalvia; Ostreida; Ostreidae.